This is a long non-coding RNA of Daphnia pulicaria, 672 nucleotides long. RefSeq lists it as uncharacterized. NCBI's taxonomy places the organism in Eukaryota, Metazoa, Arthropoda, Branchiopoda, Diplostraca, Daphniidae. The record is from RefSeq and is a predicted model, not a curated record. The transcript is spliced from 3 exons.
GUUGCGCGUCUUCCGCCGACACCCUUAAUAGCACUUCUAAUUGGAAUGCGGCAGUAACCGAUUGGUACAGUGAAGUUAAAGACAUUGACGCAACUUAUGCCGCGAGCUUUCCUGCAAGCCCAGGAGCCCACCAAAAGGUAUUGAACACUACACACAAGUAGUAUGGGCGGACACUUAUCUUGUGGGUUGAGCAGUGGCUUACUUCCAAUCUACGGCCACCUUUAGACCAGAAUUUCCCUAUAAUAGGUUCUACGUUUAUAAUUAUGGACAUACUGGCAAUUGGCUCGGUUCUCCUGUUUAUUCCCAAGGGAGAGCUGCUUUCCGUCAGUUUCUGUCUUUGUUAUACGCCGUGACUAAGGGCAUGUGGCAAGCACAAGUGCAGGAUUUUCCUGCUUAUUUUCAAAACAUAUUUUCAGACUAAAUCCUUCAGAAUAACGACACGUAUGUGUGUGCCAACUAUAACAUGUGGCAACUAGAACUAUCCGUUGAAUACGAAAAGGUUGGAUUCGAUGUCAAAACUAGAUAUCUGAACCCCUUUCUCGUGGAUCCAUAUGCUUUCAAAUGACACCGCCUUAAUUCGGUUUGUCAAAAUCAGCUACCGUUAAUUUGAAUACCUUAUAUGCUUGCGUGUUUCUAUUGACAGCUGUUUAUUUUUAUUUUUAUUUUUUUUUA